Molecule: small nuclear RNA, 190 nt
Filed under: Maylandia zebra (zebra mbuna)
Lineage: Eukaryota; Metazoa; Chordata; Actinopteri; Cichliformes; Cichlidae
Description: U2 spliceosomal RNA (ENSMZEG00005025865.1)
Rfam family: U2 spliceosomal RNA
About the family: U2 is a small nuclear RNA (snRNA) component of the spliceosome (involved in pre-mRNA splicing). Complementary binding between U2 snRNA (in an area lying towards the 5' end but 3' to hairpin I) and the branchpoint sequence (BPS) of the intron results the bulging out of an unpaired adenosine, on the BPS, which initiates a nucleophilic attack at the intronic 5' splice site, thus starting the first of two transesterification reactions that mediate splicing.
Source: Rfam by way of RNAcentral
AUCGCUUCUCGGCCUUUUGGCUAAGAUCAAGUGUAGUAGCUGUUCUUAUCAGUUUAAUAUCUGAUACGCCCCCGAUUUGGGGGCAACGUAUUAAACGCAUUUUAGAACAGGGAGCCGAAUAAGGGGCUCGCUCCGUUCGCUCCACGCAUCGACCCGGUAUUGCAGCGCCUCCGGGAACGGUGCCCCCUUU